Molecule: unclassified non-coding RNA, 313 nt
Filed under: plant metagenome
Description: partial contains 5.8S ribosomal RNA, internal transcribed spacer 2, and large subunit ribosomal RNA
Rfam family: 5.8S ribosomal RNA (bases 1-105)
Source: RNAcentral
GAAAUGCGAUAAUUAAUGUGAAUUGCAGAAUUCAGUGAAUCAUCGAGUCUUUGAACGCACAUUGCGCCCCCUGGUAUUCCGGGGGGCAUGCCUGUCCGAGCGUCAUUGCUGCCCUCAAGCACGGCUUGUGUGUUGGGCUUCCGUCCCUGGCAACGGGGACGGGCCCAAAAGGCAGUGGCGGCACCAUGUCUGGUCCUCGAGCGUAUGGGGCUUUGUCACCGCUCCCGUAGGUCCAGCUGGCAGCUAGCCUCGCAACCAAUCUUUUUAACCAGGUUGACCUCGGAUCAGGUAGGGAUACCCGCUGAACUUAAGA